GAUCAAAUAGCUCAGUUGGUUAGAGCGUGGUGCUGAUAAUGCCAAGGUUGCAGGAUCAAUCCCCACAUGGGACA
Molecule: transfer RNA, 74 nt
Filed under: Podarcis lilfordi (Lilford's wall lizard)
Lineage: Eukaryota; Metazoa; Chordata; Lepidosauria; Squamata; Lacertidae
Description: tRNA.Ile
Source: RNAcentral